GAUGAACGCUAGCGGGAGGCUUAAUACAUGCAAGUCGAGGGGCAGCAUGGGACUUCGGUCCUGAUGGCGACCGGCGCACGGGUGAGUAACGCGUACACAACCUACCUUUAAGCGGGGGAUAGCCUAUGGAAACGUAGAUUAAUACCGCAUAAUAUUACCAGAUAGCAUUUGAAGGUAAUUAAAGCUUCGGCGCUUAAAGAUGGGUGUGCGUCCCAUUAGCUAGUUGGUAAGGUAACGGCUUACCAAGGCGACGAUGGGUAGGGGGCGUGAGAGCGUGACCCCCCACACGGGUACUGAGACACGGACCCGACUCCUACGGGAGGCAGCAGUAAGGAAUAUUGGACAAUGGGGGCAACCCUGAUCCAGCCAUCCCGCGUGAAUGAUGAAGGCCCUCUGGGUCGUAAAAUUCUUUUAUCAGGGAAGAACCGCAUCUACGUGUAGGUGUUUGACGGUACCUGAGGAAUAAGCACCGGCUAACUCCG
RNAcentral lists this ribosomal RNA (482 nucleotides) under uncultured Saprospiraceae bacterium. Its description in RNAcentral is "bacterial SSU rRNA". It matches the Rfam family "Bacterial small subunit ribosomal RNA", at positions 28 to 505 of the family's 1533-position model. The record is from RNAcentral. Lineage: Bacteria; Pseudomonadati; Bacteroidota; Saprospiria; Saprospirales; Saprospiraceae.